GCUCAAGGCCGCCCUGGGAGGGCUGAGAGGCAGGCUCUGGACUGGGGACACAGGGAUAGCUGAGCCCCAGCUGGGGGUGGAAGCUGAGCCAGGGACAGUCACAGAGGGACAAGAUCAAGAUGCGCUUUAACUGAGAAGCCCCCAAGGCAGAGGCUGAGAAUCAGAAGACAUUUCAGCAGACAUCUACAAAUCUGAAGGACAAAACAUGGUUCAAGCAUCUGGGCACAGGCGGAGUGGCUGACCGGGAUGCUCCAGCUGUGUCUCUUCGCCAUCGUGGACCAGGAGAACAACCCAGCACUGCCAGGAACACACGCACUGGUGAUAGGCAUCCUCGUGGUCAUCAUCAGGGUGUACCAUGGCAUGAACACAGGAUAUGCCAUCAAUCCGUCCCGGGACCUGCCCCCCCCGCAUCUUCACCUUCAUUGCUGGUUGGGGCAAACUGGUCUUCAGGUGGCAUCAUCUACCUGGUCUUCAUUGGCUCCACCAUCCCACGGGAGCCCCUGAAAUUGGAGGACUCUGUGGCAUAUGAAGACCACGGAAUAACCGUAUUGCCCAAGAUGGGAUCUCAUGAACCCAUGAUCUCUCCCCUUACCCUCAUCUCCGUGAGCCCUGCCAACAGAUCUUCAGUCCACCCUGCCCCACCCUUACAUGAAUCCAUGGCCGUAGAGCACUUCUAAGCAGAGAUUAUUUGUGAUCCCAUCCCUUCCCCAAUAAAGAGAAGCUUGUCCCACAGCAGUACCCCCACUUCCUGGGGGCCUCCUGUGGUUGGGCUUCCCUCCUGGGUUCUUCCAGGAGCUCUAGGGCUAUGUCUUAGCCCAAGGUGUAGAGGUGAGGCACCUCAAGUCUUUCAUGCCCUGGGAACUGGGGUGCCCCAGGGGGAGAAUGGGGAAGAGCUGACCUGCGCCCUCAGUAGGAACAAGGUAAGAUGAAAGAAUGACAGAAACAGAAUGAGGGAUUUUCAGGCAAGGGGGAAGGAAGGGCAGUUUUGGUGAAAGGACUGUAGCUGACUGGUGGGGGGCUGGCUUUGGAAAUACUUUGAGGGGAUCCUGAGACUGGACUCUAGACUCUCCCCUGGUUGUUCCCUUCCCCGAGUUCUGGCCGGUUCUUGGACCAGACAAGGCAUGGCCCAAGAAGGUAGAUCAGAAUUUUUUAGCCUUUUUUUCAUUAGUGCCUUCCCUAGUAUUCUUCCAGAUUUUUUUUCUUAAUCACAUGAAAUUUUAAUACCACAGAUAUACUAUACAUCUGUUUAUGUUCUGUAUAUGUUCUGUGCUUUAUACGUAAAAAAGAGUAAGAUUUUUUUUCACC
This 1305-nucleotide long non-coding RNA is filed under the name Homo sapiens (human). RNAcentral describes it as "non-protein coding lnc-FOXD4L5-10:1". The record is from RNAcentral. Lineage: Eukaryota; Metazoa; Chordata; Mammalia; Primates; Hominidae.